GUUGCAUAUUUCAUCAUUCUAAUCACACAAUGCCAAUGUGUGUGCGGCUGCGGUAAAUAUGGGUUGCUUCAAACACAGAGCAAGUUUUGUCGAAGCUGAUGAUGGACUUUCAGAACAAGCAUCAGAAAUCUGCGCCACUCGAGUUUGGUGAGACUUGUCAGAAGAUGUUUGAAUUAGUGUGAACUGCAUCGCAAUAACUUUGAUGGACCGCAAAGGGCAAAGGUUUUGAGGGAGUGUCUGUUGAAAAGCCUUGCUUACUUGGACCGUCCCAUUCAUCCGGUCCUACUGAAGUGUGCCUCUUCUUCUCAGCCUGGCUGUCCACCUCUUGCUCUCCUGCCUCUCGAUUGCCAUUCUCUUCUCCUGAAAAAAGGAAAACAUUCAACAAAUUUCAUACAACUAAUACAAACUGAGGGGUGUAAAUAAUGUAAAAUUGUGUACCUAAUUGAAAAUGACCAUAAAAAUGAGUUAAAAACAAAUAACACCCCAAAGAUCUCAUGUUUUGUUUUCAAUAAACUGUUCAUCAAUGACCAGUGAAUGUAAAUGAGAAUGAGUGUAUUGGGCAGUAUAUGUUCUGUACAUUAACACAUUAUCAGCCCAGCUGCAUGCUUUUAUGUGAAAGGAUUUCCCAUGGAUUCUUGCAGGAAAAGAAGGAAGUUCCAUUAAACAGGAAGGAAAGCCAUGUGUGGGGGAGAGGUGGCUAUUUAUUACUGUUUGAUCUAUUGUGGGGUGAGUUAGAAUGUGCGUUAUAGGAUGUAGGGCUGAUUUGCAGUCUUUGGAUUCAGACAGAUCGUGCUUAGGGAUAUUUGGGUAUCUCGCUCCAGGAAGAAAGUGCUUUAAAGCCCUUGUUAAAUAGACACCACCUACAAAUGCACAGCCGUGACAGUGAUGGGACUGCUUGCUUGGUGAGCAAUCUCGAAUGUACUUACUGAAGGAAAAUAAACACUAACCCACUGACUGGGUUGAGGAAGCUUUUAAUUGAGUAGUGCCUGUUUCAGUCUCUCUUUAUAUCUCCAAUACAUUGUUCAGACAUUUUAAUACAUUUCCAUUGCCAGGCUAAUAUAUUUAUGAUUCGUGUUUUACAUAUCUAGUUUUGCUGAUUAUAUAAUACCCAAGAUGUUUUCAUUCAUCAAUUUACCAAUUUUCUUUACCGCUUACCCUUUACAAGAGUCGUGUGUGAGUUGGAGCCAAUCCAAACUGGCAUAAAGCAAGAGGCAGAGUAAAGUCUGAACGAGUUGCUAGCCAAUUAUAGGGUACAUAAUAUACAUUUCCAGCAUGGUCCAAAAUGAGUAUCAAAGGUUGCUGUUUGGUAAUCAUUUGUUAUUUCUUGGUGCUCAUCAUUUUUCUGACCCACAUACUUAGUUGCACAUAUAAAUAUUUAUUUACACUGCAAAUAAUUGGGCGGCAUCUGUCCUGUCCACAGUCUCUCAGUCUUCUACAUACUUCUAAUGGAGUCCAAAUUUAACAAAAACAAAUUUCUCACUUGGCACACGCUGUGGUCAAGGUGAGCCAUUUAUUGAGCUGGCAACUGCCUCAACGAUCAUAAGGAAACACCGCAACGAUCAGAGGGAAACUCCGCCAUAGUUUUCUCUUGUACUGAAGUGCACUCUUGCAGCAUCAUCAUUGUGAUGGUUGUUGCCAUUCAUGAUAAUGUCUAACCUUCAUUAGUCUUGGUACACAAAUGCAUGAGAAGACAUCAAUUAAUAUACUAAUUUAUGAACAGCCACACAUAUACAACAUCACCUGGAAGAAAAUACUGCACUUGAUACACUAUAUUCGUGUGUUCACUAAGGAUGCAACAAUACUCGAUUUUAUAUUGAACCGUCCAUAAGCCCUCUUCGAUUAAAUACGCACAAACAUUCGAUCCAAAUGAAAGCUCCCAAAAUGUAUUUUCCGAACUUUUUUUUGCUCGCGCUACAAUGUCCGUCGCGCAGGCCAAGCUGUCCACUUUGCCUUGGAUAAAAGAAAGAAAGAGUUUUUCCCCGCUGGGUACCCCCUCCCCACCUCCUCCAAACUGGGCGUGAGCUGCUUUUGUUCAUAGCACACGAGGAUCAUUGCUAGCAAGGAAAGAGCUUCAACGUCUUACAGAUCUGCAGUACAAUGAGUGGCAAAUUAAGAGCAUUGUACUUCAAAGUCGUCCUGUUUAUGAAAGUCGACUGUCAUAUAUUGGUGUUGUGAAGGAAUAAGCAGAUGUGACUUCUGUGACGUUUGUUAACUUUUUUAGUGCUCUGACAACACUCGCGCACAGACUAGAUAUCAUCAAAUAGCAACCUAGAUGUGCUACG
Long non-coding RNA from Corythoichthys intestinalis (scribbled pipefish), 2282 nucleotides. RefSeq lists it as uncharacterized. Lineage: Eukaryota; Metazoa; Chordata; Actinopteri; Syngnathiformes; Syngnathidae. The record is from RefSeq and is a predicted model, not a curated record. The transcript has 3 exons.